AUUUGUGAGAAGUCACAGGGCGCCACUUGGGGACUGGAGCAUUUCAUGGCUUGCAGUGAGACCCCGUCUUUUGUCUGCCGUCUGAUGACCAGAAAUGCUCAACAUAGGACUGCUUCGUGAACCCGAUCUGUGGAUGACUAUCGAAAUACAAGACUUUUCUUGGCUAGAAAGGCACCCUCUUUAGAGCAACGUGGUGUAUGGACAUUUGGCCGGAACAUGUACAGACAUUGUGCCACCGUGAAGGAAGCCGGUUUGAAGGCCAGCCUGACUCACGGAGAAGAGGAAGCUGAGAAAAUCAGAGAGACGGCCCUCAAACUUGACCCCCAGCCUGAGGGAGAAAACUUGCUGAUUAGUCUUUGGGUCAAGUGGCCAUUACUGAUGUCCUCACCCCAUCGUAGAUAGAGAAGCAGGUCAUAACAGGAACUAGAGUGCAUGGAGUCUGGGUCCACAGCUGCAAGACAGGAAGUUAACCAGAUCAGAAACAUUCGUUCAGGGAUCUGAGUCAAAGAGCCAGCCACGGGUCCAAGAUACGGUAUGUUAGAUGUUAGAUUUUUAGCAACAGGGCCUUUUAUUGAUGGAUUACAGGCCAUCAGAGGAAUGGCUGGUUGGUAUUAGACGAGGAGGGCCCUGAAGAAUAGCCGAGUACCCACAUUUUCCUCUGGACGAUGCUACUUGGGCCAGGGCAAAGGCCAGAUCAUGAGUCAAGCUGACCCUGCCAGGUAUGUGCCUCUUGAAUAUGCUGCCUCAGCAGUGAUGGAAGUCAAGAGGGCACCAUGCAUCACUGCUGGUAUAUGUAUCAGUGGGGUUGGUUCCUGAAUCAGCAAUGCUGACUGUGUCACAGGUGAUGCCAUUUGGUUUUUGUUUAUGCAGAAGUACGUUUCUGAAGACUGUUAGCUCCUGUUUUAAUGUAGAUGGCUGCACACACAAGUCUGUUAAACUCCAGGAAGUAAGUGGUUGUACCUAAAUGUGGUUUUAAAAAGUUUAAGGGUACAAUGGGCUCAACAUGAGUCAGCAUAUGGGAAUAUUGCUUACGGGGCCAAUAUUAUUCUGGAACUUGAAAACAGGAACCUAGCAUGAGGUUCUUUUUCCUGUAUGCAUUAUUUUAACCAUGUAUUUUUAGAACAUGUACUAAAUCCCAGGUAAUGUGUUAUAUGCUGGCAACAUACAGGUACACGUUCCAGUCAUUUCUCAAGGAGCUCAGGAUCUAGUGGCUUCUCUGCGGGCCACAGCUAGACUCUUGUGUUCAGCUUUCAAGGAUUCUGAAAGGAGAAAUAACAACUUGAGAUAAAUGAAAAAGAAAUCGAUGAAUUGGAAGGUGACUUCAUUACCAGUUAGAGGAGAGAGACAAAAAAUAUAGCUUCUAGUUCCGCUCCCAUCACACGUAGUGAGGGGGUCUAUUCGGUGAGAGAGGUGAUAUUGACAUAGAAUACAUAUGAAGACCUUCCCUUCUUGACCUUAAAACGAUGAAAAUACUUGCAUAUAUAUGAUGCAUAUAUGUUAUGUGUGUGUAUAUUUGCGUCCCCCUCCCCCAAUCAAAUCCCUAUGUUGAAGUCUUGACCUCUAGUGUCUCAGAAUGUUACUAUGUUUAGAGGUAGGGUGCUUUAAAAAGGUAAUUAAGUUAAAUGAGGUCAUUGGGCCGGGCCCUAAUCCAAUAUGACUGGUGUCCUUAUAAAAGAAGAUGAGCUCACUGGAAGGCACAGAGGGGAAAACCAUGUGUAGACACAGGGCAGGACAGCCAUCUAGAAGCCAAAAAGGGGCCUCAGAAGAAAUGCACCCUGUUGACACUUUGAUCUCAGAUUUCUA
This is a long non-coding RNA of Lynx canadensis (Canada lynx), 1803 nucleotides long. The record is from Ensembl. NCBI's taxonomy places the organism in Eukaryota, Metazoa, Chordata, Mammalia, Carnivora, Felidae.